Molecule: ribosomal RNA, 305 nt
Filed under: uncultured bacterium
Lineage: Bacteria
Description: bacterial SSU rRNA
Rfam family: Bacterial small subunit ribosomal RNA
Source: RNAcentral
AAUCAACGCUGGCGGCGUGCCUAACACAUGCAAGUCGAACGAGAAAGGGGAGCAAUCCCUGAGUACAGUGGCGACCGGGUGAGUAACACGUGACUACCUACCCUUGAGUGGGGAGUAACCUCGGGAACCGAGGCUAAUACCGCAUAAUAUCGCAAGAUCAAAGGAGCAAUCCGCUCUUGGAGGGGGUCGCGGGCUGAUUAGCUAGUUGGUAGGGUAAUGACCUACCAAGGCGAAGANCGGUAUCCGGCCUGAGAGGGCGCACGGACACACUGGAACUGAAACACGGUCCAGACUCCUACGGGAGG